This 119-nucleotide ribosomal RNA is filed under the name Metapseudomonas resinovorans. The record is from RNAcentral. Lineage: Bacteria; Pseudomonadati; Pseudomonadota; Gammaproteobacteria; Pseudomonadales; Pseudomonadaceae. RNAcentral also lists the same sequence under 1 other name.
UGCUUGACGACCAUAGAGCGUUGGAACCACCUGAUCCCAUCCCGAACUCAGUAGUGAAACGACGCAUCGCCGAUGGUAGUGUGGAGCUUCUCCAUGUGAGAGUAGGUCAUCGUCAAGCU